Molecule: ribosomal RNA, 983 nt
Filed under: uncultured marine bacterium
Lineage: Bacteria
Description: bacterial SSU rRNA
Rfam family: Bacterial small subunit ribosomal RNA
Source: RNAcentral
UGCAAGUCGAACGAGAUCCUUAGCGAAGCUUGCUUUGCUAAGUCUAGUGGCGAACGGGUGAGUAACACGUGAGCAACCUGCCCAGAAGCAGGGGAUAAGCCACCGAAAGGUGGUCUAAUACCGUAUGUGAUACUAAGAGGCAUCUCUUGGAUAUUAAAGGGGGGGACCUUCGGGCCUCUCACUUCUGGAUGGGCUCGCGGCCUAUCAGCUUGUUGGUGAGGUAACGGCUCACCAAGGCAACGACGGGUAGCUGGUCUGAGAGGACGACCAGUCACACUGGAACUGAGACACGGUCCAGACACCUACGGGUGGCAGCAGUCGAGAAUCAUUCACAAUGGGCGAAAGCCUGAUGGUGCGACGCCGCGUGGAGGAUGACAGCCCUAGGGUUGUAAACUCCUGUCAUGAGAGAGUAAAGACUUAACGUUAACACCGUUGGGUCCUGAUAGUAUCUCAAGAGGAAGGGACGGCUAACUUCGUGCCAGCAGCCGCGGUAAUACGAAGGUCCCAAGCGUUGUUCGGAAUUACUGGGCGUAAAGCGUGCGUAGGUGGCAUGGUAAGUCAGAUGUGAAAUCCCGGGGCUCAACCCCGGAACUGCAUCCGAUACUGCCAAGCUAGAGUAGUGGAGGGGAGUCUGGAAUUCACGGUGUAGCAGUGAAAUGCGUAGAUAUCGUGAGGAACGCUAGUGGCGAAGGCGAGACUCUGGACACUAACUGACACUGAGGCACGAAGGCUAGGGUAGCGAAAGGGAUUAGAUACCCCUGUAGUCCUAGCAGUAAACGGUGCGCGUUUGGUGUGGGCGGGUUCGACCCCGUCUGUGCCGAAGCUAACGCGUUAAACGCGCCGCCUGGGGAGUACGGCCGCAAGGCUAAAACUCAAAGAAAUUGACGGGGACCCGCACAAGCGGUGGAGUAUGUGGCUUAAUUCGAUGCAACGCGAAGAACCUUACCUAGGCUUGACAUGCUUGUCGUAGUUCUGUGAAAGCA